RNAcentral lists this ribosomal RNA (497 nucleotides) under uncultured bacterium. RNAcentral's name for it is "partial 16S ribosomal RNA". It matches the Rfam family "Bacterial small subunit ribosomal RNA", at positions 28 to 507 of the family's 1533-position model. The record is from RNAcentral.
GAUGAACGCUGGCGGCGUGCCUAAUACAUGCAAGUCGAGCGAACAGACGAGGAGCUUGCUCCUCUGACGUUAGCGGCGGACGGGUGAGUAACACGUGGAUAACCUACCUAUAAGACUGGGAUAACUUCGGGAAACCGGAGCUAAUACCGGAUAAUAUAUUGAACCGCAUGGUUCAAUAGUGAAAGACGGUUUUGCUGUCACUUAUAGAUGGAUCCGCGCCGCAUUAGCUAGUUGGUAAGGUAACGGCUUACCAAGGCAACGAUGCGUAGCCGACCUGAGAGGGUGAUCGGCCACACUGGAACUGAGACACGGUCCAGACUCCUACGGGAGGCAGCAGUAGGGAAUCUUCCGCAAUGGGCGAAAGCCUGACGGAGCAACGCCGCGUGAGUGAUGAAGGUCUUCGGACCGUAAAACUCUGUUAUUAGGGAAGAACAAACGUGUAAGUAACUGUGCACGUCUUGACGGUACCUAAUCAGAAAGCCACGGCUAACUACGUG